RNAcentral lists this long non-coding RNA (1604 nucleotides) under Gadus morhua (Atlantic cod). RNAcentral's name for it is "lncRNA (ENSGMOG00000025052.1)". The record is from RNAcentral. Lineage: Eukaryota; Metazoa; Chordata; Actinopteri; Gadiformes; Gadidae.
UACAAAAACUCUGGUGAUCACAAGACGCAUCAGAAGAUGUCUCAUUGGCUGUUCAAUCUACAGCCAUGCGCUAAUUUAAACUGGAUAUGACCAGUAAGAUGUGGAUCAAUCCCUGUUAUGUUACACAUUAAGGCACGUGUUGAGACUUUACCCUAUGCUGGUGUGUAUAGUGUCUAUGAUGUCGGGGGUACGAGUCCUCGCCGUGCCAUGUUGAGAAGGCCAGCAGCAGAAGGAAGAAUCCCUGUACUCCCAUACUGUCUGUAGUAUAGGCUUCAUUCCAAGCCUUGAUCUCUCCUUGCUACUGUGCUGAGUUAAUAUCAUCACUGAACUGGUUGCUGGUUUGGGGGAGGUGGAUCAAACUACAAAGUAACAGACAGACAUCUGGAGGCCCUAAUGGAAGUGGACGACUUUAGGCUCAAACCUCAAGAAACAACAAUCUAGUAAAAUACUGAACUCUGUGGUAAUAAAGCUCUCUCUGGAAGAUUUUACAUUUUCAUUCUUCAUGAGAGGGAACGAGUCUUCAGUUGUUAUUAAAGCCUACGAUGAAGAGAGAAGAAGACCUUGGAGUCAUUUCUGCUGAACACAAACAGUGACAUCUACUCUCCUGAUUUACUCUGCUGGCAUUUACAAAGCCCUCCUCUCAGGAUAAGAACAUUCAUCCCACGCCUCCCUUGUAGUGGUGCUGAUCAUCUGUAGGUGAUCGAUGUGAUCAACAAGUUAUUGAUCAGCGUUGACGGCAUCUCAGGCGGUGAGCAGAGGUUUAUGAUACAGGAUAUUUCACUGUGGAUAUCCCAACUUUUGGUCGUGGCACCACCCUGGUUGUUACAGACAGGUCAGUGGUGCGGCCCAAAGUGAGCGUCUACCCAGCGACGGGAGCUGAUUUAAAGGGCCGGCGCUCCCUGCUGUGUGUAGCCAGAGACAUGGUCCCUGAGGAGGUCCGGGUGUCCUGGAGGAGGAGAGGGGGGGGCAGAGGGGGGGGGAAGGACGGGGAGCAGCUGGAGCUCAGAGGACCGACAUACGCUGCCAGCAUCCUGGUUAUUGAUCGGGGAGAAACCCUCACAGAUCAAUACAUCUGUAGAGUUGAGCAUGAAAGCGGUCUGCAGGAGGAGUUCCCAGCAGAGUCCCUCCAGGUGCUGUCCAGAGCCAGGCUGGCGUCUGUGCUCUACACAGUGAUGGUGGUGAAGAGUGUGCUCUGCUGCUGUGGCCUGGCUCUCCUGCUCCUCCACACCAACAAGACCAGCAGGACGCCCAGAACCAGCACCACCACAGCCCUGGACUGACGCUCCUGUCCCCCAGAACCAGCAGACCCACCUUGUACAACCAUAUGAGGUCAUCAUGUCAACAUGUCAACAUUUUUUUAAUUUUGUUCCGAUUCUCUUUUCCCUCCACUGGUCGGACCAGAGAGCUGCAUUUCUUUUGCUGAUUUGUUCUUACUGCCGAUUAUGUAAAAACUAUUUAUAAAAAUCUAAAUUGUUACAUUUGCUGGUUGUCUAUUAAUGAAGGUGUGGAAUUUGUGGUGCAUUAUUAUGUUAAAUGAAUAAAAAAAGUUUUCCUACUCUUUGAAUCAGUCCGCGAUGCGCUCAGGUGGUGUGAUUUUAAAAUCC